RNAcentral lists this ribosomal RNA (253 nucleotides) under uncultured bacterium. RNAcentral describes it as "partial 16S ribosomal RNA". It matches the Rfam family "Bacterial small subunit ribosomal RNA", at positions 524 to 776 of the family's 1533-position model. The record is from RNAcentral.
UACGUAGGGUGCGAGCGUUGUCCGGAAUUAUUGGGCGUAAAGAGCUUGUAGGCGGUCUGUCGCGUCUGCUGUGAAAAUCCGGGGCUCAACCCCGGACUUGCAGUGGGUACGGGCAGACUAGAGUGUGGUAGGGGAGACUGGAAUUCCUGGUGUAGCGGUGAAAUGCGUAGAUAUCGUUUGGAACGCCAAUGGUGAAAACAGGUUGCUGGAAGUGUGCUGACGCUGAGACACGAAAGCCAGGGGAGCAAACGGG